RNAcentral lists this ribosomal RNA (450 nucleotides) under uncultured bacterium. RNAcentral describes it as "partial 16S ribosomal RNA". It matches the Rfam family "Bacterial small subunit ribosomal RNA", at positions 354 to 796 of the family's 1533-position model. The record is from RNAcentral.
GUGGGGAAUAUUGGACAAUGGGCGAAAGCCUGAUCCAGCCAUGCCGCGUGUGUGAAGAAGGUCUUCGGAUUGUAAAGCACUUUAAGUUGGGAGGAAGGGCAGUAAGUUAAUACCUUGCUGUUUUGACGUUACCGACAGAAUAAGCACCGGCUAACUUCGUGCCAGCAGCCGCGGUAAUACGAAGGGUGCAAGCGUUAAUCGGAAUUACUGGGCGUAAAGCGCGCGUAGGUGGUUUUGUAAGUUGGAGGUGAAAUCCCCGGGCUCAACCUGGGAACUGCCUCCAAAACUGCAUGACUAGAGUACGGUAGAGGGUAGUGGAAUUUCCUUUGUAGCGGUGAAAUGCGUAGAUAUAGGAAGGAACACCAGUGGCGAAGGCGACUACCUGGACUGAUACUGACACUGAGGUGCGAAAGCGUGGGGAGCAAACAGGAUUAGAAACCCUAGUAGUCC